RNAcentral lists this ribosomal RNA (424 nucleotides) under uncultured bacterium. Its description in RNAcentral is "bacterial SSU rRNA". It matches the Rfam family "Bacterial small subunit ribosomal RNA", at positions 356 to 773 of the family's 1533-position model. The record is from RNAcentral.
GGGGAAUAUUGCACAAUGGGCGAAAGCCUGAUGCAGCAACGCCGCGUGAGUGAUGAAGGUUUUCGGAUCGUAAAGCUCUGUUGCCAGGGAAGAACGUCCUGUAGAGUAACUGCUACAGGAGUGACGGUACCUGAGAAGAAAGCCCCGGCUAACUACGUGCCAGCAGCCGCGGUAAUACGUAGGGGGCGAGCGUUGUCCGGAAUUAUUGGGCGUAAAGCGCGCGCAGGCGGCUGUUUAAGUCUGGUGUUUAAUCCUGGGGCUCAACCCCGGGUCGCACUGGAAACUGGACAGCUUGAGUGCAGAAGAGGAGAGUGGAAUUCCACGUGUAGCGGUGAAAUGCGUAGAGAUGUGGAGGAACACCAGUGGCGAAGGCGACUCUCUGGGCUGUAACUGACGCUGAGGCGCGAAAGCGUGGGGAGCAAAC